This 392-nucleotide long non-coding RNA is filed under the name Ananas comosus (pineapple). Its description in RNAcentral is "long non-coding RNA (ACOM_LNC004964)". Lineage: Eukaryota; Viridiplantae; Streptophyta; Magnoliopsida; Poales; Bromeliaceae. The record is from RNAcentral.
ACAUAGUAAAUUGUAGAUAUAUUUCUAUAAAGUUCAACUUAAUUUCAUAAGUUAUUUAUGUAAAAAUUCUAAUGUUUUCAGAUAUAUUCCUGCCGUUAGAAUCCGUUAUAAAAGUUUAGUUAAUCAUAGGUUAAAUACUUUACUCGGGUUAAUUUUUGACAUUUUUACUCCUCUUAUAUUAUACUGUUAUAAUUUUUGAAAGGACAUAUUUAUGAUGGCAAAAUUGAAACUAUAAACAGUUUUCUAACGGUUCUCUAAACGGUAACAAACCAUAGAGACAUAUCUGAAAAUAUUAGGACUUUUGUAAGGAUAAUUUAUAAAAAUUAAAAUUUAUAAAAAUAUAUUUAUAAUUCACUAUAUUGGCGGGCACCUAUAUGCAAUUAACCUGUAAA